GAGGAAGCAUGUAUCUUGUCAAUAGUACAAGAUUAGGUGCUUAACAUGCAUGUUAAUGGUACAAAUAUAGUAAAUAGAGAAAAGAGCCCUCUGUAAAAUAAUACUCCUUUUGUUCUUAUAUAGAUGAUCUUUUAGGUUUUUUUUUUUUUUUAAAUAGAUGAUUUUCUCACAAAUCUAUGUAAAAUUAAAUACUAUUUUAUGGGUUUUAUCAAUUUAUAUUCUGCAUAUUGUUUUUUCAUUGAUUGAAUUGUGUUAAAAUAGAUAUUCAAUGAUAUUUUUCUUUAGACAUAAACAAAACUUAAAUGAUUUCUUAAUCUGUAUAUUUGCU
Molecule: long non-coding RNA, 328 nt
Filed under: Capsella rubella
Lineage: Eukaryota; Viridiplantae; Streptophyta; Magnoliopsida; Brassicales; Brassicaceae
Description: long non-coding RNA (CRUB_LNC001691)
Source: RNAcentral